GCGGGUAUCGUAUAAUGGCAUUACCUUAGCUUUCCAAGCUAAUGACAGGAGUUCGAUUCUCCUUACCCGCU
Candidatus Harrisonbacteria bacterium is the source of this 71-nucleotide non-coding RNA. Lineage: Bacteria; Candidatus Harrisoniibacteriota. The record is from Rfam.